This 1325-nucleotide long non-coding RNA is filed under the name Homo sapiens (human). RNAcentral describes it as "novel transcript, sense intronic to TENM2". Lineage: Eukaryota; Metazoa; Chordata; Mammalia; Primates; Hominidae. The record is from RNAcentral.
CUUUUUUUUUUUUUUUUUUUUUUUUUUUUUUGCAGAGAACUGCAUUUGUUUCUAUCUGUGCAGCCAUAGCUACAUCAUUCAUAUGUAAUGUUUGUCUUUUAUAUUAUUUUGUAUAAUUUUGAUGAUUUUCGUGGAAAACGUGAUGAAAACAUUUCCCCAAAAAAAGUGUUGCUGAAUUUAAAUGUGUUUAAAAACUUAAUCCCCAUGAGCAUAGAUGAUCAAACACUCAACAAAUAUUUACCGAAUAAGCAAGCUACUUUGUUUACAGAUUGUGGGAGGUACUAAAGAUGCAAAGUGUUUAAAAUGUGAAUAUUGUUCUCAUUUAAUUUAAACAUAUAUGGAAGAACGGGGCACAAACCAGAAAAGCCAAGUAAUAAUAAACCAAUGUGGCAUAAGCUAAGUCUGAAUGCCUGACAUGGAUAAAAAUAACUAGAAGGUAGGAAGACAAGGGUUAAUAUCCUGGCUUUGCCAUUUGCUCCUUGUGUGAUGUCGGGUAAGUUAAUUUUGCUAAAUCUCAGUUUUGUUGUCUGUAAAAUGGUUCCAGCAACAGCCAUUUGGUGAGUUGUUGCAAGGUUAGAAAUUAGAGGCAAUGAUAAGUCCCUGUCAUUUAAGAAGCAUUCCCAUUACUAUGAACUAUUUCAUUAUUGGGUAGGUGUUAGCUAUAUACUAGCUAUUAUAUAAUAGCUUUACAUGGAUUAGCUAUUAAGUUCUCACAAUAUUUUACAGAUGGGGAGAGCAGGGUUUAGAGAGUAAAAGAAUUUGACCCAUGUUCCACAAUUAGGAAACAAAUUUCAGGGUGGGAAUUUGGACUUAGGACUAACCCCAAAGCCCAGCUCCUAAUUAUGAUACAUCCGAGAGCACUGUGAUAGCUAUGGGAAUUAACAGUUUCAUCAAUGUAAACCAAGAAAGUCAAGGAUAUACUUGUGGAGGACAUGUAACCUGUCCUGGUCUCUGAUAAAAGAUUGGAGUUAAAUAUGUUGAUAUGAAAGAGAAAAGGCCGUUCUAAACAGAACGAAUAAUGUACUUGAGGCUCUGAAAGGGAUGCAUAUGCAUCAGGCUGGGCGGACAGUAAGCUCUUGUGCAGUAGGGAUAGAACCAGUGUUUACAUGGAUAGGUUGGUGUCAAACCACAGAGGCGACUGAAGUUGAGGCAAACAAAUCUGCACUUGAUUCUCUAAGGAAUUGUGAACCUUAGAUGAUGUGCAAGCCGAUACAUAAGAUAAUGAAAUAAAACAGACUUUCAAUUGACCAAUCAAUAACUAUUGGGAAUGGAUGUCAUUCAGAGUGGCAUUUUAAGAAGGAUGAAUUGGAGAAGAAAAAAAAAAA